RNAcentral lists this ribosomal RNA (468 nucleotides) under uncultured bacterium. RNAcentral describes it as "partial 16S ribosomal RNA". It matches the Rfam family "Bacterial small subunit ribosomal RNA", at positions 28 to 507 of the family's 1533-position model. The record is from RNAcentral.
GACGAACGCUGGCGGCGUGCUUAACACAUGCAAGUCGAACGGAAAGGCCCUGCUUUUGUGGGGUGCUCGAGUGGCGAACGGGUGAGUAACACGUGAGUAACCUGCCCUUGACUUUGGGAUAACUUCAGGAAACUGGGGCUCAUACCGGAUAUGAGCUCCUGCUGCAUGGUGGGGGUUGGAAAGUUUCGGCGGUGGGGGAUGGACUCGCGGCUUAUCAGCUUGUUGGGGUGGUAGUGGUUUACCAAGGGUUUGACGGGUAGCCGACCUUGGAGGGGGACCGGGCACAUGGGGCCUGAGAGAGGGACCAGACUCCAACGGGAGGCAGCAGGGGGGAAUAUUGCACAAUGAGCGGACGCCUGAUGCAGCAACGCCGCGUGCGGGAUGACGGCCUUCUGGUUGUAAACCGCUUUCGCCUGUGACGAAGCGUGAGUGACGGUAAUGGGUAAAGAAGCACCGGCUAACUACGUG